UAGAGUGCUUGCCUAUGAUAUGCAAGGACUCAGGUUGGAGCCCCAGUGCUGAAAGACUCAGGAAAUUAAGGCAUGAAGUGGUGACUGGGCAGAUAGCCUUAAGGAAGAAACAGCUGUUUUGAGGAACAGAGCUGUGUCAGCAGAGUGUUUUCACACAAAUAAACUGACUUUUGCAUUGAGAACGUGAAUCAACAGAUACCACAAGGUCAAAGUUCCCAGGCUUCCAGAAUUGAGGAAUUCUGGAAGGAAGCUGUUUAUAGUCAUUUCUCUAAGGAAGAAAUUGGAGAGUUGAGAUAUGUGCUUUCUCCUGCCAUCUUCAUGGCCUUCAUGUCCUGCUUCAGGACUCAGUGGGAAAUUCAAAAGGCCAGGAACUCUUGCCUAUGGAGUGAUAGCACUCAUGUCGGGUGGGCGGUAUCUAUUAACAAUCAAGACCAUCAAGACAAAUACCCCAUCGGCAUGCUCAUAGCCCAAUCUGAUCUGGGCAGUCCUUCAGUUGAGACAUCCUAGGUAAAUUGUUUAUAUGUGUGUCUUUCAAGAAUCUGCUUCCAGGGGAAUUCAAAGUAGGGUAUUGGAGCAGUCAACUCAGUUGCCCAGGACUACAUGGCUGGAAUGAAUUUAUAUCAGUUUCCCCAAGACAAAACCUCAUGAGAGAGGCAGCUGGUUUCUCUGGCCUUUCUACCUUUAAGAGGUCUUCAGCAAAGCCCUUGCCUUGUGGGAUUUAUGUGUUUAAUUCUGAGUUAAAACCCUUCAGUCUUGGGAUGGAGAGAUGGCUCAGUGGUUAAGAGCCCUGGCUUCUCUUCCAGAGGGCCUGGGUUCAAUUUCCAGCACCCACAUGGUAGCUUACAGCUGUCUGUAGUUCCAAUUCCUAAGGAUUUGACACCUUCACACAGGCACCAAUGUGCAUAUAAACAAAACAACAACAAAGCCCUUUAGUCUCAGAAGAAGAAACUCACUGAAAACAAAGUGGCCCAUUAGCAUUAGCGUUCAGAAAUGAGAAGAGCAAAGUCGUGUCCAGGUAGUAACAGGGCUGCCAACCACAGAAGGCACUGCCCUCUGAGCGUUGGGUGCCACUUGCUACAAAUCCUGGUUUGGAUGCUGACUCGAUGGAGGUGUGAAGCCUUGGGUGACCCUGGUGUGAAGCCCUGGGUGAUCUUGUUACCCUUCUCUAUCAGUUACCUUAUCUUAAAGCGGAUGAAAUUACAGUACCGGCUGCAUCUCUGCUGGGAAGCCACUCCACGCUGGGGCCUUGUCAGAGCAUUGAUCUCCUCCCAGAAGUGAGGCAUCUCAGGAAACUGAAACUCAUAAAGGCUGGGCUUGCCUAGAUAUCUGAGGCCUUAAGGUCCAGCUUGCCUCCCAUACCCUGGUACUUCAUCCCCUGGCUUCUUGUCAUCCCUAAAUUGGUUUUACAGUUUGUGGGCUCCCAUUCUGCCACAGUAUCUGAAGCUAAAUUAUGUACUAGCCAUUUCAGUAACUUUGCGAAGUACGAAAACCGCAUAUGCUUGCGCAGAUAUGGUUACAGAAUUCUGAUGUGAGAAAGUUUUAUUCAGACUACGAUUGAAUCAAUGUGUUAUCAUGGAUGAGUUGGUUAUUCAGGAACUAAUCAGUAGU
RNAcentral lists this long non-coding RNA (1608 nucleotides) under Mus caroli (Ryukyu mouse). RNAcentral's name for it is "lncRNA (MGP_CAROLIEiJ_G0005479.1)". Lineage: Eukaryota; Metazoa; Chordata; Mammalia; Rodentia; Muridae. The record is from RNAcentral.